This 195-nucleotide ribosomal RNA is filed under the name uncultured bacterium. RNAcentral's name for it is "partial 16S ribosomal RNA". It matches the Rfam family "Bacterial small subunit ribosomal RNA", at positions 335 to 527 of the family's 1533-position model. The record is from RNAcentral.
ACUCCUACGGGAGGCAGCAGUGAGGAAUAUUGGACAAUGGGCGCAAGCCUGAUCCAGCCAUGCCGCGUGCAGGAUGACGGUCCUAUGGAUUGUAAACUGCUUUUGCACAGGAAGAAACACUCGGACGUGUCCGAGCUUGACGGUACUGUGAGAAUAAGGAUCGGCUAACUCCGUGCCAGCAGCCGCGGUAAUACG